RNAcentral lists this long non-coding RNA (2355 nucleotides) under Marmota monax (woodchuck). The record is from RNAcentral. Lineage: Eukaryota; Metazoa; Chordata; Mammalia; Rodentia; Sciuridae.
CUUGAAGUAAAAGCACACUCAGGUCCCAGGUCCCAGAUCCAGGCGCCUCCCGCAGCCAAGGGGUGACCCAAGGCUGGGUGGGGGGGCAAAACAGGGGUCCAGACCCCCGCCUUGGGAAGGGGCACUGUGGGCCCGCAUUCAGGAGCUUCCCCUCUGAAGCAGGGUGGUCAUCCUGAGUCGUGAGCCGACCUCUCGGAUCCUCCAUGUGUCCAGCUCACUCAGCACUCAAGGCGCCGUGGACGGAGCACAAGCGUGUCUGCUGGCCGGGGUUCUGUCCAGGUGAAGACCCCCCGAGGCGUCGUGAAGGACAGGCCGUGGAGGCGUAUUCACGUGGUGGACCCCACACGGCAAGCCGAAGGCCCCAGGCGCAGCACAGGAGCUGGCCGUGGUCAGGUGGGUGCGAGAAGCAUCAGCAAGGAGGACAGGCAGGGUGGCCGGCGGGUGGAAAGUGCAGAAACAGGCCGCCCUGGCCGUGGCGCGAGAGUGGGAAGGCGACGGGUCGGGGCCCAUGACAGGGUGCCGUGAGUGCACCUUGUGGUUGAAUUUAAAAACUGGGUUUCCAUUUGUUUUAACAACCUCCGCUGUGGAGGGCGGAGCUCCAGGGCACGGCCAGGUCACGGUGACCAGCCUCCAAGUGGCCUGACUUCGCAAGCUGCUCAAGCCCAGAGACUAUUUUUUGUCCGUCACCACUGGAGUCUGCAAUGUGGCCGGCUCCACGUCCUCGUCCUCCCCGUCAUGACUUCCGAGGUGUCUGGGGACAGUGCAGUCCCCCUGCCUCCCCCCUCCUCCUGUUCUGGGAAGGGAGGGGACGUCUGGCCCACCGGCUGCAGCCCGGCUUCCUGUUUAGAGGCUCGCUCAAGCCACAAUUAUCCCAGCGCAAGACGCAGCUCCUCAGCAGGCCAGACGUCCUCCGUGGGUUUGCAGAAGGGCAGGGUUGUCAGGGCGGCCACUCCCACAGAGGGACAGACGGGCAGUCCAGACUCUGGAGGCCUCUGGGGGCCCCACAGUGCCUGCGUCCUCUCUGUUGGGACCGGUGACGCCUUGGGAGAGCAAACGGAGCAUUCUCUUAUUCCGCCUGGGGACAGCGGGGGGCCUGGCUUCCGCCCUUUGCUCUGGAUGCUGGCGUCUUUUUAUUACGACAUUUUUCAAACAUGCAGAAAAACCACAAGUGCACAAACCACAUGGCUGUUCCACUUACCACCCAGUCACGGGGUCACCAGCGCGUUGUUGUACUGGCUUCCUGCAGGAACACACACACACACACACACACACACGACCCCCCACACUCCAAAUCACAGACAUCGUGACGUCGCACCCCGGAUGCUUCCUUCCCUAAGGACAUCCAGGAAAAUAAGGAGGACUUUCCACACAGCCACAGAACCAUGCCCACGUCCAGCACAGUGGGCAAUGAUCCCUUCAUCCUGCCUGAUGUCCACCUCAUAUUCCAAUUGCCUUGACUCCAAACAUCUUGCAUAGUUUUUUAACAAAACCAAGGUCCAACUGAGGGUCACUGCAGGUGACGUUUCUUUGCCUUUUCUCUGUCACAUCGCAGCACAUCCUCUUCUCCCUCUUAAAGAAAUCAGUCGGGUCCCUGGACCCCCGGAGGCUUGACAGGAAACCACAGUGACGGAGAUGCCAAGUCGUCACGGGAGGGGCACUCAGCACGCAUCCCCAAGGGGGCGGCUUCCCCUUGCAGCUAGCGAGUGCCCGGGUGAUGUUUGCCCCUCCUCUUUAUGCUUUGUCCUGGGGUGGAGAAGUGGGGGGCGUGCAGUCUCAGGUGGAGUCUCAGGUGGCCGAAGCAUAGGUUUUCUUCCAAUUUGGACAUGGGGACACGGGCUCAGAGCCAAGGAGCCUGCCCACCACCCCCGGGGACUUGAAAGCUGGUCCUGGGCUCCUAGCCACUCUGCCACGUCACCGGGACUUUAACUGCCACCCAGACUACUUUUCUGGGGCUGCGUCCCUGCCCCAGGGGAAGCCAGGCCAGGAGUAGGAAGCCUGAGAUGGGCAAGUCCAGAUUUGCACUAGCUGGGACCCGAUACCUGAAGGUCACCGAGGCCUGCAUCUGACCUUCACCUGUUUGCAGUCUUCGGGUGUCAUUUUGAAAUCUGUUCAUGACAGGGACUUAAUAAAACAUGUUAAAUAGUGUUCAUGGCCAGGUGGCUGCUUUGUUGGGCCACAAGGUGAAGGUGCUUGGCCUCGCUGGCUCCUGCCGAGUCCCGUCACGGAGGGAGCAGGGUCAGGAGCCCAGGACCUGCGGGUGAGGAAGGACCAGCCCUGGCCACAGGGCUCCCACUGGGGACAGAGUGACACCUGGAGGUGCAGAACUAGGGAAGUGACAAUGGAGUGUAGGGGCUG